Austrofundulus limnaeus is the source of this 3222-nucleotide RNA transcript. It is a transcript of the gene named cornichon family AMPA receptor auxiliary protein 2, with no coding region annotated. The record is from RefSeq and is a predicted model, not a curated record. NCBI's taxonomy places the organism in Eukaryota, Metazoa, Chordata, Actinopteri, Cyprinodontiformes, Rivulidae. The transcript has 7 exons.
UUCUCUAGCAGUCUAAGAAGCACGCAGAGAGGCAGACAGAGACAGAAGACUCAGGAAAAAAAUUGAAAAUCCUUUGAAAUUUUUUUUCAAAAGAGGAGUGAGGGUGUGCAGGCAGAGUGAUGAGCAGCAGCUGCUUCCUUUAGGUUAUGGCUCUCCAGGACUGUGGACACAUCUCACCUCACUACAGGGGUGUUUUUAGAACAACUGCGUGUCAACAUGUAGAUGCUCUUCAGGGCUCUGCUUAAAUCAGCCCCCCACCCCCCACCCCUUCUUGGUUUGUUUUCCCGCCAGAACCAAACUGUUUCCUGCGUGUCGGAGCGAUUUCACAUUUUUAAUUUUUGCUGUUGUCGUUUGCUUGGAGAGACGUGAGGAAUGAGAGGCAGAGCAGAUGAUCCUGACAUGGUGCCGGCCCACGCUGACAGGAACCAGGACGGAGUGGARGGCUCUGACCCGACCGGCUGCAGGUAUCCUCUGCUCGAGGUUAAGGUCAGCUAAGAUCCAGCGACUAAGCUCCUCUGGCUUAGGUGCUCACUUUCAACUUACCUGAACUAAGUGGGUGAUUUGUUUUUUUUUUUACUUUAUUUUGCUGAAUCACAAGGAAUUUGCUUUGUCAGGAUAUAGAACAAAGCAAUACCUCGAAGUUUAAAUAUAAACAAAGUGUAAAUAAAACCUAACCUACCAACUGUGUUUGUCAAAGUGUUAAAAGUGAUUUGAUGAGCGUUUUGUUCGUGGCGUGUUGGACUCAGAGCAACAGAUGAACACUAAGCCAUAAAACUACUCAAGCCAUAACCACCCUUGUCAGCAGUGAAUCCGAACUGUUUGAGGCAAUCCCACUAAACCCUGAGACAGUUUACCUCGACAGACAGAUGUCGGUUCUGUCCUGACGGUGGGGAGGAGGAGACCGCCGCUUCUUGUUUGUGAGGGACUGAAAGCAGACUCCUGAACGCUUCCUGCAGCCAUCCUGCUGUCAGCUGAACAAAGGCAGAGCUCCAGUGGAGGCAGCUCAGCCUCGGCUCGUCACUGAUCGUCACUUCCACAACUCGCCUGGGCYCAACACACUCAGCCUGCACCUGAAGUGGGAAACAGACACUUAACCCUUGACAAAAAAACAAAAACAAAGAAAGGUUAAAGAAGCGCCCCCUCCCUUUCCCCUACUCCCCUCCUCUCAGCCCGUCUGGUCAUCAAGCUGACCGACGCAGCCAUGGCGUUCACCUUCGCGGCCUUCUGCUACAUGCUCACCUUGGUCCUGUGUGCUGGUCUCAUCUUCUUUGUCAUCUGGCAGAUCAUUGCGUUUGAUGAACUCCGCACAGACUUCAAAAACCCCAUUGAUCAGAGCAAUCCCACCAGAGCGAGAGAGAGGAUUCUUAACAUCGAGCGGAUCUGCAACCUGCUUCGCAGAUUGGUGGUACCAGAGUACUCUAUACACGGGCUCUUCUGCCUGAUGUUCAUGUGUGCUGGAGAAUGGGUCACUCUUGGCCUAAAUAUCCCGCUGCUCUUCUACCAUCUGUGGAGGUUCUUUCAUCGGCCAGCUGAUGGAUCAGAGGUUAUGUAUGAUCCUGUCAGCGUGAUGAAUGCAGACAUCCUCAACUACUGUCAGAAGGAGUCCUGGUGUAAAAUGGGCUUCUAUUUGCUCUCCUUCUUCUAUUACCUGUACAGUAUGGUCUACACCCUGGUGACGUUCUAAACACCAAGUCAUCUGAAGAAAAGGGACCUACAAGAUACGCAAACCAAAUGGAGACAAACUCUUCUUCUCUCUGUGUUUCCRGGCUUUUCAUCGUCCAAUUUUGAACAAAAGAGAAGAGCAAUCUGAUGGACUCUGGCCGGGGCUGGACGACAAAUUGCAGUUUGAUGUUCAAACACUGAUCACAGGAACACGGAGGAAUCUGAAUGUCAUCCAUCAACAGAAGAGACGGGCUGAAGUUUACAUGACAGGGUUUGACCUACAUGAGAGGAUCCAGAUCACAAGAGGCUUCGUGUGUGAACAGACUGACAAACCUUUCUGCUCCAUUUCAUCUGGAAAAUCAGGCCUAGRAUUCCURGAAGUAAUGCAAAUCUACCCCUGCCACUGUUCAUGACAGAGUUUUAAGCUGGAGGUGAUGAUGAGAAGUCCACAUAGAGGUUUUGGUCAAACUUCGUAAUGUCAAGAAAAAAAGUAGAAUGCAGAGCUGCAUCCCUAUCAAAUAUGGAAAAGGCGUUUUAUGGACUGAACUGUUGAGAAUAUUGUUCGAGAAGGUAUGUAGGAUGUACAGUAUAAAAGCACCAGAAAGUUGUCUUAAGUUGGGUUUUUUGGAUUAUAAUGAAUUUUCUAACAACAUGCAACACUGUUCAGAUGUCAACCAAUGCUUCAAUAAAGACCCUUGCUAUCUUGAGCUUUUGUUGGGUCCUAUGAAAUCUGUUUCUUAGGGCUUUUCCAAAAUCAAAAAUUUUCAAUUAUUUUUUUUUUGUUUUUGAAUUCCACAUUUUCAUUCUAACCUACAUAAAAAGUGUAUAGUUAUAAAGUGAUUGAAAAAGAAUUUAACAAAUUAAUAAGCAUAAUAAUCACUGAAUUCAAACUUGCAUGAGUUACUAUUCUAAUACUAUUACUUUCACAAAAAUAAAUUGCUGUGGUUCAACAGAACAUUAAAUGCUUUUUCAAGGUAUUUAAAGUAUUUACCCUGUGAAAAACCCUGUGUAUGUGUAAAACAGAAUCUCACAUAUCUCAAGUUAAAAAUUUCUCCUUUUAUAAAACAGAAGUGGAGCAACAUCAAACAACCUGUGGGAAAGAUAAAACCUACAAUCAUCUUUUUCAUGAUAAACAUUUCUAUCAUGAAUCGAACAUGUGGGGGCAGGUGAGCACAGCUGCAACACAACGUUUCCACGCUAACAGAGGAUUGAAACGGUUCUGUUCUUUAUUAUUAAUGCCUCUGCAGGUUUAGACCCCUAAUUAUCAGACUCCUACUGUCACUGCUGCACUGUUUGUUCCAUAGUGCAAACAUGUCAGCCAUUAUUAGAACACAAAGAAGGGAUCCACAAGCAAAAGUGUACACAUCUUAUCAAUUUUAAGACAAUAUUGUUAUAGAUUGUUCAAGCUUAAGCUGUUGUUUGUUUGAAGUUGUUUUUUUAUAGGGGACAUAUAUAAUAAGAUGUUAUUCUUCUUUUUGCACUCUUUUCAUUCAGUAAUUGAUUUACUUAGUUUGUUAAUGGAUAUUUUGUAUUUAUGAAUGAAAUAAAAUAAAUAAAAAA